ACACCUGGCAUACUUAGUACGGCGAGUGAAGCGGUAAAAGCUCAAAUUUGAAAUCUGGUACUUUCAGUGCCCGAGUUGUAAUUUGUAGAAUUUGUCUUUGAUUAGGUCCUUGUCUAUGUUCCUUGGAACAGGACGUCAUAGAGGGUGAGAAUCCCGUUUGGCGAGGAUACCUUUUCUCUGUAAGACUUUUUCGAAGAGUCGAGUUGUUUGGGAAUGCAGCUCAAAGUGGGUGGUAAAUUCCAUCUAAAGCUAAAUAUUGGCGAGAGACCGAUAGCGAACAAGUACAGUGAUGGAAAGAUGAAAAGAACUUUGAAAAGAGAGUGAAAAAGUACGUGAAAUUGUUGAAAGGGAAGGGCAUUUGAUCAGACAUGGUGUUUUUUGCAUGCACUCGCCUCUCGUGGGCUUGGGCCUCUCAAAAAUUUCACUGGGCCAACAUCAAUUCUGGCAGCAGGAUAAAUCAUUAAGAAUGUAGCUACUUCGGUAGUGUUAUAGCUUUUUGGAAUACUGUUAGCCGGGGAUUGAGGACUGCGCUUCGGCAAGGAUGUUGGCAUAAUGGUUAAAUGCCGCCCGUCUGAAACCAAGGGCAAAAAAAAAACCACCCCCCCCCCUACCCCAAAAAAAAGAAAAAACCCCAAAAACACUUAAA
Molecule: ribosomal RNA, 646 nt
Filed under: Hanseniaspora uvarum
Lineage: Eukaryota; Fungi; Ascomycota; Saccharomycetes; Saccharomycodales; Saccharomycodaceae
Description: partial large subunit ribosomal RNA
Rfam family: Eukaryotic large subunit ribosomal RNA
Source: RNAcentral